Molecule: transfer RNA, 85 nt
Organism: Felis catus (domestic cat)
Lineage: Eukaryota; Metazoa; Chordata; Mammalia; Carnivora; Felidae
Rfam family: tRNA
About the family: Transfer RNA (tRNA) molecules are approximately 80 nucleotides in length.
Source: Rfam
GCCUGGGUGGCUCAGUCAGUUAAGCAUCUGACUUCAGCUCAGGUCAUGCUCUCGCAGCUUGUGAGUUCGAGCCCCACAUCGGGCU